GGUUCAGUGGCACAGUGAUAAAGCGCUCGUCGCGGAGCCAGAGGGUCCUGGGUUCGAUCCUCAACGGGGUCG
RNAcentral lists this transfer RNA (72 nucleotides) under Schistosoma japonicum. RNAcentral's name for it is "tRNA-OTHER". Lineage: Eukaryota; Metazoa; Platyhelminthes; Trematoda; Strigeidida; Schistosomatidae. The record is from RNAcentral.